This 491-nucleotide ribosomal RNA is filed under the name uncultured bacterium. Its description in RNAcentral is "partial 16S ribosomal RNA". It matches the Rfam family "Bacterial small subunit ribosomal RNA", at positions 34 to 507 of the family's 1533-position model. The record is from RNAcentral.
UCUGCCCGCUGGCUACAGGCUUAACACAUGCAAGUCGAGGGGAAACGACGGGGAAGCUUGCUUCCCCGGGCGUCGACCGGCGCACGGGUGAGUAACGCGUAUCCAACCUGCCUCUGACUGAGGGAUAACCCGUCGAAAGUCGGCCUAAUACCUCAUGGUAUCGUCUGCGGGCAUCCAACGACGAUUAAAGAUUUCAUCGGUCAGGGAUGGGGAUGCGUCUGAUUAGCUUGUUGGCGGGGUAACGGCCCACCAAGGCUACGAUCAGUAGGGGUUCUGAGAGGAAGGUCCCCCACAUUGGAACUGAGACACGGUCCAAACUCCUACGGGAGGCAGCAGUGAGGAAUAUUGGUCAAUGGGCGAGAGCCUGAACCAGCCAAGUAGCGUGCAGGAAGACGGCCCUAUGGGUUGUAAACUGCUUUUAUGCGGGGAUAAAGUGAGGGACGUGUCCCUCAUUGCAGGUACCGCAUGAAUAAGGACCGGCUAAUUCCGUG